Molecule: long non-coding RNA, 537 nt
Organism: Neogale vison (American mink)
Lineage: Eukaryota; Metazoa; Chordata; Mammalia; Carnivora; Mustelidae
Exons: 2
Source: RefSeq, a predicted model, not a curated record
UGCUGUGCGAACCCCUUUGGGGUUGCCCUCGACCAAGCUUCUGCAACCAAAAGUCCUGAGGAGGGCACAGGGUUGAUGGGAUGGAUACUGAGGCCCUGGCCUCUGGACGCUGAAGUUGGAGUUCCUCUGAGGAGUGUUUGGGAGAAAUAAGGACCAGGAGCCAAGCAUCUCCUUCAGCAUGUGGAGUGAUUUGCAGCUUUGGGAACCCAGGAAUGAUUUGGCAGUGGGGGCAGCCUCCCUGAAGUAGCCAGAAGCAAUGAAUACUGACGAGAAGAGUGGAGGAUAGCACUAGCAGGAGACCUGCCCACCACCAUGCGGUAUCUCCAAGACUGUAUUUGAGAGAGUCCAAGGGGUGCUGGGUUUGCCCAAGACUCAAAUCCUGUAGGAGAAGAUGGAGGCAAAGAACCAGCAAAGUGGGAAGAAAGGGAAGCUCAACAGCGGAGGGAUGAGGUUUGAAUGUAGGAGGCCCGGAACAUUUGGGAGACAAUCAGAAAAUUAACAUGUCUUUAGCAACUUCACUAAAUGAAAAUCACAAAA